RNAcentral lists this ribosomal RNA (590 nucleotides) under uncultured Pseudomonadota bacterium. RNAcentral's name for it is "bacterial SSU rRNA". It matches the Rfam family "Bacterial small subunit ribosomal RNA", at positions 28 to 611 of the family's 1533-position model. Lineage: Bacteria; Pseudomonadati; Pseudomonadota. The record is from RNAcentral.
AUUGAACGCUGGCGGCAUGCUUUACACAUGCAAGUCGAACGGUAACGCGGGGGCAACCCUGGCGACGAGUGGCGAACGGGUGAGUAACACAUCGGAACGUAUCCUGGAAUGGGGGAUAACCUAUCGAAAGGUAGGCUAAUACCGCAUACGCUCGGGAGAGGAAAGUGGGGGAUUCGCAAGGACCUCACGUUUUAGGAGCGGCCGAUGUCCGAUUAGCUAGUUGGUGGGGUAAAGGCUUACCAAGGCGACGAUCGGUAGCUGGUCUGAGAGGAUGAUCAGCCACACUGGGACUGAGACACGGCCCAGACUCCUACGGGAGGCAGCAGUGGGGAAUUUUGGACAAUGGGGGCAACCCUGAUCCAGCCAUGCCGCGUGAGUGAAGAAGGCCUUCGGGUUGUAAAGCUCUUUCAGCCGGAAAGAAAUCGCACUGGUUAAUACCUUGUGUGGAUGACGGUACCGGAAGAAGAAGCACCGGCUAACUACGUGCCAGCAGCCGCGGUAAUACGUAGGGUGCGAGCGUUAAUCGGAAUUACUGGGCGUAAAGCGUGCGCAGGCGGUUUUGUAAGACAGAUGUGAAAUCCCCGGGCUUA